CGGAAGUAGCUCAAUGGUAGAGCAUCAGCUUCCCAAGCUGGGGGUUGCGGGUUCGAGUCCCGUUUUCCG
This 69-nucleotide transfer RNA is filed under the name bovine gut metagenome. It matches the Rfam family "tRNA". Rfam says of the family: Transfer RNA (tRNA) molecules are approximately 80 nucleotides in length. Their secondary structure includes four short double-helical elements and three loops (D, anti-codon, and T loops). The record is from RNAcentral.